Non-coding RNA from Bactrocera oleae (olive fruit fly), 3439 nucleotides. The record is from RefSeq and is a predicted model, not a curated record. NCBI's taxonomy places the organism in Eukaryota, Metazoa, Arthropoda, Insecta, Diptera, Tephritidae.
UGCAAAUGUCGAUUAUGAAAUAAUCGAUAAUUUGUUCGUGCACUUCCGACAAUUUUUCAGUUCUGGUGCGGAGUUUCUUCUGAAAUAUUUAGGUGUAAUUUGCUGAUGUUCUUCGGCAAAUGACGCGUCGAUCUCUUUUUCCAUCUUUCAGAAACGCAAUUCAACUCCUUUGGGUAUAUCUCCACGAAACGUUUAGCUUCUAGCUUUGCAAUAAUUAAAUAAUUCUAAGAAAGAAUAUAUUGAAAGUGGUGAAUAGUAUUCGGUGUCAAGUUUUUAAAGAAUAACUUUUCAGGUUUUCUUGAUUCCUUAAAGUUAAAAAUAAUGGCUAAUAAUAAUUAUGCCGGAUUUAGCUAUGGUGGAACUCAAUAUGGUGCCGGUGGUGCGGGAUACAAUCCAGGGCAGGUAUCUUAUCCAGCUGUAACAAACGCCACUUAUGCUAACGCUGCCGCGUAUCAAUCUGCUGCUGCUGCUGGUCAGGGUGGUUAUGCAGCUGCUGGCGCUUCGGGAGCUGGCGGCUAUGCAGGUUACGGCGACUACGGUCGCGCACUUCCUGCAUAUGACGCAUCGAAAACAUUUUAUCAACAAGCGUCAGCUAGCUACAACACGGCACCAGCAGCUACAGUUAGUAAAACGCAUUAUUCGGCUCCACCCGUUAAAAAUAUAAACGCUGGUUCCAAAGCCGCUGGUGUUAAGGAUAAAACCAAUGGAGCUGCUAAAGCUGUAGCCACUCCAGCAGCUACCACUGCUACAGCUGUUAAUGCAUACAGUAAUUACGAGUCGGCUCUUUAUAGUGCAGCAUCAAUGUAUGUUGCUCAACAGCAACACCAAACCGGCCCUGUUAAACCGAAUGCUAAUGGUGCCUCAGCCAAUAGUUGGCAGUAUAGAGCACCAAAGGGCGCUGCAGCUGGUGGUGCAAAUGUAGCACGUCCACGCACCAAGCCACCGCCACGCCCGCAACAACUGCAUUAUUGUGAGGUAUGCAAGAUCUCAUGUGCAGGACCUCAAACCUAUCGUGAGCACUUGGAAGGUCAAAAGCACAAAAAGCGGGAGGCAUCAUUGAAAAUGCAGGCCACUGCACAGUCUGCAGCUCAAAAUCGUGGUAAUAAUUACCACUGUGAGCUUUGUGAUGUUACGUGCACUGGUACCGAUGCCUAUGCUGCGCACGUACGUGGCGCAAAACAUCAAAAAGUGGUUAAACUUCAUCAGAAACUUGGCAAACCAAUACCCCCAGAUGAGCCAAAGAAGUUAUCAAAAAUUAAUUUUGUCCCAGCCAGUGGUUCUGCUGAAACUACAGAGAACGUUGAAGGCGAAAAUACUGGUGUCAACGAAAACGAUAAUCAAGAUGAUAAUGCUGCAUGCGGAGAAAACACCGAUAAUAUUAAACCAGUUGGUGGCGAGUAUAUUGAAGAAAUUAAAGAUGAUGAAGGGAAGAUCCUAAGCUUCAAUUGUAAAUUAUGUGAUUGUAAAUUUAACGAUCCAAAUGCAAAAGAGAUGCACAUGAAAGGCCGAAGACAUCGUUUACAAUAUAAACGGAAAGUCCAACCGGAUUUGGUGGUCGACUUUAAACCCACUCCACGUCAAAGACGACUAGCAGAAGCACGUGCCCAACGUGCUCUUAUGCAAUCGCACCGAGGUGGUAAUGUUGGUUUCGGUGAUGAACAUGAGAAUAGUGGCGGAAUGUAUUGGGAUGAACAACGUCGACGUGCACAGUACGAUGACGAAUACGAUUACAGCAACUGGUUGGCACGUAGUUUUGCUGGUGCUCAACGUGGAUUUGGUGGUCGCAUGGGUAAUGGUCCACCACCAUUCUUUGGAAUGAUGCCUGGUGGGGGUGGAAGUAUACGUCGUCCUGAGAGUACCGAUGAUCGUCAUGCAAUUGCUCGUCAUGCAGAGAUUUAUCCCAAAGAGGAAGAGUUGCAAACAAUUCAACGCAUCGUAUCACAUACUGAACGUGCUCUUAAAUUUGUCUCGGAUAAACUUGCUGAGAAUUCAGAUGAAAAGGGACCAGCUAAUAAAAAAGAAAAACUAGAGAAUGCUCAAGUAAAGGACGGGCGCGAUAAUCAAAUGUUAUCAUUCCAAAAAGAGGCUGAUAGCGGAAAUGUACGCAUUCUUAAGGGCGUAAUGAGGGUCGGAUUUUUGGCCAAAGGUCUUUUAUUACAGGGUGAUAAUGCAGUUGAAUUAGUGGUUUUAUGUUCUGAAAAACCAACAGUUGGAUUACUAAAACGUGUGGCCGUUGAAUUGCCAUCCAAAUUAAAGGAAGUGGCAGCUCUUCACCGGAUAUACAUGCCAUUGUCCCAUUGAGAUUGGUUAUUUGAGGUUUGUGAACAGGACAUUCAACUUCACUCUACUUCACUUUUAUUGUGGUGCGGGUACGCGUACGGGUACUCCUCCUUCAUAGUAUCUUUCUUUUAUUGCGCUGUUUGUUGCUGGACUGGAAAUUGAACGGCGAAAAUCCAGUUGAAUAUGUUGUUGAAGUUGUGGCUCAAGACUCAGCUGUCAUUGUGCGUGAUGAUGUGGUGUCCGUUAAAAUUUCACUUACUUCGCCUCUAUUACGCGAAGCUUCACAGGAAGGCAAAAAUGAUGCUGCUAACAUUAACGGAGGAACAGGAGAUGUUGCACUACUGCCGCGCGAACCGUGUCUGAGGGCUUUAGCUGAAUUGCGCCACGCCAAAUGGUUCCAAGCACGCGCCACUGGCCUUCAAUCAUGUGUAAUGGUAAUACGCAUAUUGCGUGACCUUUGUCAACGCAUCCAAUCGUGGCAGGCAUUACCACAGUGGUCCCUAGAAUUGUUGGUUGAAAAAGUGAUCUCAUCAGCUGGUUUCCCAAUAUCUCCAGGUGAUUGUCUUCGUCGUAUAAUGGAGGCUUUGGCUUCUGGUUUUCUUAUUAACGGACCGGGACUCUUAGACCCAUGUGAAAAGGAAGCUCAAGAUGCUUUGCAUGACUUGACUAAGCAGCAGCGCGAAGAUCUAACCGUGUCAGCACAAUUGUUUUUGCGUUACAUUGCAUUCAGGCAAAUUUACAAAGUCCUUGGCAUGGAUCAGUUGCCGGCACUGAAAUUUCCAAUACGACCAUGGCGCUUAAACCGCAAACGACGCCGAUCCUCUGGUAAAGGUGGACCAGGGGGUGAAGCCGACGUGGCUGAAGGCGAAGAAAGCUGUACCGAAGAGAAAUUAUUUAAAAAAGAUAUCGCAACUUAAUUUCAUAAUGAUACAAAUACCGCGUUUGUAGUUUUAAAUUUCAAAUGAACGUCUCUCACAUAUUAAAAUAUAUAAAUGUUUAUUGGUGGAUACAUUGGGAACUGGUCCUCUUCAUCCACAAAAUAGUAAAAAAAUAAUCUGGAAAUUACUUAUAACAAACAUACCGUGUGCUUACACAUAAUUUUGAAUUAAAAAUGUAAACACUAUUGCAAUUAUGAUCAAUAAAUAAUGCCACAUAAUUA